RNAcentral lists this non-coding RNA (25 nucleotides) under Rattus norvegicus (Norway rat). Lineage: Eukaryota; Metazoa; Chordata; Mammalia; Rodentia; Muridae. The record is from RNAcentral.
UGGAAAGUUCUCCCAAAUGCUUCCC